GGAGAGAUGGAUGAGUGGUUUAAGUCGCACGCCUGGAAAGCGUGUUCAGGGUGAUACCCUGACGGGGCUCGAAUCCCCCUCUCGA
This 85-nucleotide transfer RNA is filed under the name Accumulibacter sp. Its description in RNAcentral is "tRNA-Ser". It matches the Rfam family "tRNA". Rfam says of the family: Transfer RNA (tRNA) molecules are approximately 80 nucleotides in length. Their secondary structure includes four short double-helical elements and three loops (D, anti-codon, and T loops). Lineage: Bacteria; Pseudomonadati; Pseudomonadota; Betaproteobacteria. The record is from RNAcentral.